GCGGGGGUCCGAGUUCCACAGCUUCCAGCUCUGGGGAAGGGGAGGAGAGGGGCCUUCACCUCUACGGCUGACCCCCUUCCCUGAGGGUCCUGGGUACGGGAGGAGAGAGGGCGCGGGAGGGGAGGAGGCCGGGCUGGGCCCUGGGAAGUCGCUGGCUGAGGCCGCCGGCAGUUUCUCCCGUCGAAGGGCAGCGUGAACCUCGGCUUCUUACUGCGCAGCCGGAGGCACCCGGGGCCAGGAGCGGAAGUCCGAGGGGACCCCACGGCGGAGGAGCGGCAGAGCCCGGGCCCCGCGGGAGAGAGAGGCGGGAGCCUCUCACAGUUGAUCGGCGGAUUCCACUUACUGUGACUAUCCAGUCUCCUCUAGGCCUUUGGACAUCUGAAAGGAUGGAGUUUAUCUAGUCUUACCUGUCAGAGUCAAGAGCCUUCUUUCUCCUAAGCUGACCUUAGUAUCUCC
Molecule: long non-coding RNA, 456 nt
Filed under: Homo sapiens (human)
Lineage: Eukaryota; Metazoa; Chordata; Mammalia; Primates; Hominidae
Description: HSALNT0043323
Source: RNAcentral